RNAcentral lists this ribosomal RNA (2944 nucleotides) under Candidatus Organicella extenuata. RNAcentral describes it as "23S ribosomal RNA". It matches the Rfam family "Bacterial large subunit ribosomal RNA". Lineage: Bacteria; Pseudomonadati; Verrucomicrobiota. The record is from RNAcentral.
UUAUCAACUAAUAAGAGCAGUUAGUGGAUGCCUUGGCGAUACAAAGCGAUGAAGGACGUAAUAUAUACGAAAGCCCAUACUACUUUAAUGCGUAGUGAUGGGCGUAUCCGAAUGAGGAAACUUAAUCUUUUGAAAAAUAGAUUUGUUAUUAUUGAAUACAUAAAUAAUAAACAGCUAACCUGUUGAAGUGAAACAUCUCAGUAAACAGAGGAAAAAAAAGCGAAAGCGAUUUUCUUAGUAGUGGCGAGCGAAACGAAAUUAAGUCCAAACUAAAAAUCUGUAUAUUUACAAUAUACAUUGUUUUAGGGUUGUAGGUAUAAUCUUAUUAGAUCUUAUGUUUUUAUAUACAUGAAUUUUUUGGAAAAAAAAGCCUUAGAGAGUUAAAGCCUUUUAAAUCGUAUAGAAACAGUAAUUUUUAUGUCCAUAGAUUAUAACCUGAGUAAUACGUUAUACGUGAAGUUACGUAUGAAGUAACGCAGACCAUUGCGUAAGACUAAAUAUUAAGUAUCGACCGAUAGUGAACUAGUACCGUGAGGGAAAGGUGAAAAGUACCCUAGAAAAGGGAGUGAAAUAGAACCUGAAACUAACUGCUUACAAGCGGUCAAAGUCUUUUUUUAGAGAUAAUGGCGUACCUUUUGCAUAAUGGGUCUGGGACUUAUUAUUUAAAGCAAGCUUAAGGUUUUUUCAAACUGGAGGCGGAGUGAAAGCUAGCUUUAACAGAGCGUUUUUAGUUUUGAGUAAUAGACCCGAAACGAAGUGAUCUACCCAUGAUCAGGUUGAAGUUUAGGUAAAACUAAAUGGAGGACCGAACCGGUAAACCUUGAAAUGUUUUCGGAUGAAUUGUGGGUAGGGGUGAAAGGCCAAUCAAACUUCGUAAUAGCUGGUUCUCCCCGAAAUAUAUUUAGGUAUAGCCUUCCACGCUUAUAAUUGGGGGUAGAGCACUAAAAAAAUUAGGGCUUUAAACCAAAGUACCGAAUUUUAUUAAACUCCGAAUACCAAUUAAUGUAGUGGAGGAGUCAGACAGUGGGGGUAAGCUUCAUUGUCGAGAGGAAAACAGUCCAGAUUGUAAAAUAAGGCCCCUAAACUACAACUAAGUGUUUUAAAGGAAGUAAUUUUACAAAGACAGUAGGGAUGUUAGCUUAGAAGCAGCAAUCAUUUAAACAGUGCGUAAUAGCUGACCUACCGAGUAAUUUUGCACCGAAAAUGAUCGGGACUAAGUUGUAUGCCGAAUUUACAAACUUAAUUAUUUUUUAAAUUAAGUGGUAGGGGAGCGUUCUAAAUGAGUUGAAGUUUUCAAGAAAUUGUUUAUGGAUUGUUUAGAAGUGAGAAUCCAGACAUAAGUAACGAAUUUAUGGUGUAAAUCCAUUUCGCCGUAAGGAUAAGGUUUUCUAAGCAAGGUUCGUCCUCUUAGAGUUAGUCGAUAUCUAAGACGAGGCUAUUAGCGUAGUCGAUGUGCAAUAGGUUAAUAUUCCUAUACUAGUUAUACAUUUAUAUUUUAAAAAGUGACGAAAAAAGCUAAUUUAAGUGUAGAGCUGAUAUACUACAUUGAAGUACCUAUUGAACUAUAGUUUUAACUAUAGUUAAAAGAAGUACGAAUAGUUUUUAAUUUAAUUAAAGAAUUAAAAAUUUAAACAUGCUAAAUUUCCAAGAAAAGCUUUUUAAAAGGUGUAUUAACUAAUCGUACCGCAAACCGACACAGGUAUCCGAGAUGAAUAUUCUAAGGCGUGCGAGUUAAAUUUUCUUAAGGAACUCGGCAAAAUUGCUCUGUAUCUUAGGUAAAAAGAGUGCCUUUUUAUAAGGUUGCAGUCAAAAGACCCAAGCGACUGUUUAGCAAAAACACAGCUCUCUGCUAAAUCGAAAGAUGAUGUAUAGAGAGUGACACGUGACCAAUGCGGAAAGGUGAAAUCUUAAUGUUUAAGCAUAAAGUUUAAGCCCCCGUGAAUGUCGGCCGUAACUAUAACGGUCCUAAGGUAGCGAAAUUCCUUGUCGGGUAAAUUCCGACCUGCACGAAUCGUGUAACGACUUGGGUGCUGUCUCAAGAAAAUGCUCGGUGAAAUUGUAGUCGCUGUGAAAAUGCAGCGUACCUGCAGAAGGACGGAAAGACCCUAUGAACCUUUACUGUAUCUUAAUAUUGAUAUUUAAGGGUUAAUGCGUAGCAUAGGUGGGAGGUUAUGAUGAUUGAUUUUAGGAUUAAUUUGAACCGUUAGUGAAAUACCACCCUUUAAUUUUUAAAAAUCUAACCUUCUUCUAUUACUAGAAGAGGGACAGUGUUAGGUGGUCAGUUUGACUGGGGCGGUCUCCUCCUAAAGAGUAACGGAGGAUCACAAAGGUAUUUUCAAAUCGGUCAGUAAUCGAUUGUUGAGCGUAUGGGUAUAUAAAUGCUUUACUGUAAGACAUACAAGUCGAGCAGUUGCGAAAGCAGGUCCAAGUGAUCCGGUAGUUGGGGAUGGAACCGCUAUCGCUUAAAGAAUAAAAGGUACUCUAGGGAUAACAGGCUUAUCACGCCCAAGCGUUCACAGCGACGGCGUGGUUUGGCACCUCGAUGUCGACUCAUCACAUCCUGGGGCUGAAGAAGGUCCCAAGGGUUCGGUUGUUCGCCGAUUAAAGUGGUACGUGAGUUGGGUUCAGAACGUCGUGAGACAGUUCGGUUCUCUAUCCUCUGUAGGCGUUGAAAAUUUGAGGAAUUCAUUUUUUAGUACGAGAGGACCAAAAAUGACGUACCUAUGGUGUAUCGGUUGUUCUGUCAAGGGCAUGCCGAGUAGCUAAGUACGGAAAGAAUAAGUACUGAAAGCAUCUAAGUACUAAGUUAUUUCCAAGAUUAAAUUUUCUUAAAGUAAAUAUACUUUUAUAGAAUCCUAAAAGACGAUUAGGUUGAUAGGUUAUAGGUGUAAUCGCGGUAACGCGUUUAGCUUUAUAAAAACUAAUAAUUCUAAGGUUUAUAAAC